GAAAGAUUCAUCGGAAGAGGAUGGGCAUGCGGCGCAUUAGCUUGACGGCGGGGUAACGGCCCACCGUGGCGACGAUGCGUAGGGGUUCUGAGAGGAAGGUCCCCCACACUGGUACUGAGACACGGACCAGACUCCUACGGGAGGCAGCAGUGAGGAAUAUUGGUCAAUGGGAGAGAUCCUGAACCAGCCAAGCCGCGUGAGGGAAGACGGCCCUAUGGGUUGUAAACCUCUUUUGUCGGAGAACAAAACCCGGGACGUGUCCCGGACUGCGUGUAUCCGAAGAAAAAGCAUCGGCUAACUCCGUGCCAGCAGCCGCGGUAAUACGGAGGAUGCGAGCGUUAUCCGGAUUUAUUGGGUCUAAAGGGUGCGUAGGCGGUCCGUUAAGUCAGCGGUAAAAUUGCGGGGCUCAACCCCGUCGAGCCGUUGAAACUGGCAGACUUGAGUUGGCGAGAAGUACGCGGAAUGCGCGGUGUAGCGGUGAAAUGCAUAGAUAUCGCGCAGAACUCCGAUUGCGAAGGCAGCGUACCGGCGCCAGACUGACGCUGAGGCACGAAAGCGUGGGGAUCGAACAGGAUUAGAUACCCUGGUAGUCCACGCAGUAAA
This 603-nucleotide ribosomal RNA is filed under the name uncultured bacterium. RNAcentral describes it as "bacterial SSU rRNA". It matches the Rfam family "Bacterial small subunit ribosomal RNA", at positions 202 to 806 of the family's 1533-position model. The record is from RNAcentral.